Molecule: long non-coding RNA, 1821 nt
Organism: Patella vulgata (common limpet)
Lineage: Eukaryota; Metazoa; Mollusca; Gastropoda; Patellidae
Exons: 4
Source: RefSeq, a predicted model, not a curated record
ACCGCGGAGUGCUCGUAUUGGGCAAUAUAUAGGGUAGCCAUUUUUGUUUUUCGAGGAAAAAGAUCUAUACCUUAUUCAUUUGAAGCUCACAAAAAUUGAAGAUGGACUUUAUUACAUAUUUAAUAGGAAUAUCGCUGCUGUUGGUGUCAUAUAUUCAAGAUACCUAUGCGUACAGCUGUCGGUAUGGAAGUGGCGUAUUUUCCUCCUACAGAUAUUGUGCCUAUGGUUGUUGUGGUACUUAUAAUAACGUGUGCUGCAGUUACACCGCCAAUACAAGUGUUGUUCGAAUUGCCAGUAGUAUUACGUCAUUAGUUAUUACGGGUAUAGUUGUAGCUAUAGUUGUUUGUUGUUGCUGUAGACGCAGACGUAAUAGACAAAUCGUAACUAACAGACCUAACCCUAUGGUAUAUGCUAGCAGUACUGUUCAAACAAGCUCCAUGCAGCCGGGUGUGUCUUACCCUGCGCCUUAUUAUCCACAACAAGCACCGCAGCAACCAUAUUACCCACAACAACAAGCUGGGUAUCCAGGCCCACAUCAACCUGCGUAUGCUGCACCACCGCCAUCAUAUGAAUCAGUGGCCCAACAAGGGGCACAAGACAAUAAAGCAUACGAGAAAGCAUCGGCCCCAGAUUUUUAAUUUGUCAUAAUAAAAAAAUAUACCGUAUAUAUAUACAUAUCUAUCUAACGAUGCCCACACUGUAAAGUUUUAUAACAGACUGUCUACAAUUUGUUCCGCUUGAGAACAGACAACGAGCUAGUUGACCGACAUUUUAAUUUCUACAUCGACGAUUUCAGUCGAAUAUACUAAGUUUAUUUCGAGAAAAGUAAACAGUUCUCUGUGUACUGAAUGAAUAUUAUAAUUAGAGCUUCCAUUGUUUACCUUAAUUUUAAAGAAGACAUAAUAAUAUAUUUAUUAUGACAAUAGAACUAAUGGCGUGGCAGAAAUUAGCCAUCUUUAACCUAAUAAAUGUCUAGACACGUAAACUACGGUGAAAAAAUGAGACAUUGGCCUUAACGUACUUAAUAUGUUUCAAAACAACUAACAAAAUAUGGUAAAAGGGCUAAAGGGAUCAGCCCUUUAAAAUCUGUUUGUGUUCAUAUUGUAUACAGUCCUUACUUAUAUAUUUGAUACCUCAUUUUGUCUGAUUUCCAUUCCUUUUUUUUUUCGAACGUAGUCUGUGGGCCUACCUUUUGUUUCCAACGUAAAGAUUGUACCUUUUUUUCCAACGUAAAACUAUACCUUUUGUUUCCAAUGUAAAGUUUGUACAUUUUGUUUCCAACGUAAAGAGUGUACCUUUUGCACAGUGUUGGGUUUAACCGUCGAGAUCUGGUCGAAGUUAUUCCUUUUGGUUGAUUUGACAAUACUAAAAGACGGCGAAUUGUUAUAGUCUUAUAUGACUGUGAUUCUGCAUUGGUGACAGACAACGAGAAUCCCUUAUAAUCGCAUGACGUUAAGAAUGGACUGGUUUUAAUGGACAAGUUACACCAAUAAUUGACUUAUGGAAAAAUUUAACAAGUGACUCGUGGAAAUUUCCGCUGAUCAUUUGAUUUGAGCUCCUCCGAUCCGCCGGUGUAUGAAAAAGAAACGACAGACAAUCAAAAAUUAUUUCCAUGGACUGGAGACCAUGACUUACUUAGAGUAUAACCUGGACAGGAUAUAAUUAUAUUUUUAUAGACUCUACAAUUGUUAAAUCAAGUGAUUUGAAAUUUUUUAAUAUCAUCGUUAUAUUUUGAUUUUUGUUCCGUGUGAAUAACUUGUAUACAUUUGUUAACAAUUAUAAGUUUCAUUGUUAUUUUGUAAUAAAAGGAAUUAAACUGAA